RNAcentral lists this long non-coding RNA (376 nucleotides) under Phoenix dactylifera (date palm). RNAcentral describes it as "long non-coding RNA (PDAC_LNC010965)". The record is from RNAcentral. Lineage: Eukaryota; Viridiplantae; Streptophyta; Magnoliopsida; Arecales; Arecaceae.
UAUCUUUAAUUAAAGUAUUAGUUUUUUUAAUUAACAUUUGGUUGCUUGUUUUAAGUUCUAAAUUUUCUUUAAUGAUAAAAUCCUUAUCCUUAAUUAAUUUAUCGUAUUUAUGGAGGUGAGAUUGAUUGGUUAGUUUUAGCUCUUUAUUCUUAAGAUUUAUUGUCUUAUAUUCAUCCAUUAAUUCAUUAAACGCAUCAUACAAUUAAUCAAAGGUAAAAUCUAAAUGCGUUUCAGAUGUUACCUCAUUUUCAUUUGCCAUGAAGCAGAAGUUGGCCUUUUCCUCUUGUUCCUCAUCCGAUGAUGAUGAUGAUGAAUCGGAGUCCGACAGAGUGGAGACGAGGACUUUCUUUUUCUUAUAUUUGCUGCCCUUCUUAAG